RNAcentral lists this ribosomal RNA (1012 nucleotides) under Bacillus subtilis. RNAcentral's name for it is "bacterial SSU rRNA". It matches the Rfam family "Bacterial small subunit ribosomal RNA", at positions 53 to 1051 of the family's 1533-position model. Lineage: Bacteria; Bacillati; Bacillota; Bacilli; Caryophanales; Bacillaceae. The record is from RNAcentral.
ACAUGCAAGUCGAGCGGACAGAUGGGAGCUUGCUCCCUGAUGUUAGCGGCGGACGGGUGAGUAACACGUGGGUAACCUGCCUGUAAGACUGGGAUAACUCCGGGAAACCGGGGCUAAUACCGGAUGCUUGUUUGAACCGCAGGUUCAAACAUAAAAGGUGGCUUCGGCUACCACUUACAGAUGGACCCGCGGCGCAUAGCUAGUUGGUGAGGUAAUGGCUCACCAAGGCGACGAUGCGUAGCCCACCUGAGAGGGUGAUCGGCCACACUGGGACUGAGACACGGCCCAGACUCCUACGGGAGGCAGCAGUAGGGAAUCUUCCGCAAUGGACGAAAGUCUGACGGAGCAACGCCGCGUGAGUGAUGAAGGUUUUCGGAUCGUAAAGCUCUGUUGUUAGGGAAGAACAAGUACCGUUCGAAUAGGGCGGUACCUUGACGGUACCUAACCAGAAAGCCACGGCUAACUACGUGCCAGCAGCCGCGGUAAUACGUAGGUGGCAAGCGUUGUCCGGAAUUAUUGGGCGUAAAGGGCUCGCAGGCGGUUUCUUAAGUCUGAUGUGAAAGCCCCCGGCUCAACCGGGGAGGGUCAUUGGAAACUGGGGAACUUGAGUGCAGAAGAGGAGAGUGGAAUUCCACGUGUAGCGGUGAAAUGCGUAGAGAUGUGGAGGAACACCAGUGGCGAAGGCGACUCUCUGGUCUGUAACUGACGCUGAGGAGCGAAAGCGUGGGGAGCGAACAGGAUUAGAUACCCUGGUAGUCCACGCCGUAAACGAUGAGUGCUAAGUGUUAGGGGGUUUCCGCCCCUUAGUGCUGCAGCUAACGCAUUAAGCACUCCGCCUGGGGAGUACGGUCGCAAGACUGAAACUCAAAGGAAUUGACGGGGCCCGCACAAGCGGUGGAGCAUGUGGUUUAAUUCGAAGCAACGCGAGAACCUUACCAGGUCUUGACAUCCUCUGACAUCCUAGAGAUAGGACGUCCCCUUCGGGGGCAGAGUGACAGGUGGUGCAUGGUUG